Pieris brassicae (large cabbage white) is the source of this 2315-nucleotide RNA transcript. It is a transcript of the gene named PHD finger protein 10-like, with no coding region annotated. The record is from RefSeq and is a predicted model, not a curated record. The transcript is spliced from 8 exons. Lineage: Eukaryota; Metazoa; Arthropoda; Insecta; Lepidoptera; Pieridae.
AUAGAUAUAGAAAUUGCGUCGACAAUGAAAUUGAUUUAUAACUAAUUGAUAUAUAUAUUAUUUUUUAUUAUUUCUUAAUGUAAUUUUGGAUGCUCGGAGAUUUUGAACUAAAUUUGGAGAGGCCACCGAAAAAACCAAUGUUUAAGAAAAAUAAUGUUUUCUUUCUAGUUGCUACCCAGGGUCAGUAGCAAUUAAGUAUAAUAUUUAAUUAAACCGGGAAACUAAUAUAUUAAUAAUUACAAAACUAUUUGCUUCUUUAGGACUGUGGAAGUUAAGGUUCCUGUAUAUUGAUUUGGAUUGGUUCCAAAUUUAUUAUAUUCAAAAAGAGCAAGGGAAGAAAUAUUUAAAAUUUUCGGCAUGAUUUUGAUUAGAAAUGUCAGAGAUAAAGUAUAAAAAUCAAAUUUUAGCUGCAAUUGAUCAUCUACGUGCUCGAAAGUCCAGACCAGAUAUAGGAAGAAUUUGUAAAUUUAUGCUCAAAUGUUACAAAGUAGCACCAAAAGAUACAAAAACUGAUUUGAAACGUUGUAUAAAGGAAAAAAGUAUUUAUAAAGUUGAUUACAAGGAUAAUGUAAGCUAUAGAAACGCAGCAAAGUGGAGAAAAAAGUCUACACAAAACAAUACAAUGAGUUUAACAGUCGCAACAAGUGAGCGACGAAUAAUUACAUCUGCAAUUGCUACUUUAAUUUAUCAAGACCAAAGUUACUUAGAAAAUGGGAUUGCAUUUGAUGAACUUGUAAAAGUAGCAGCAUCGCAGGAUCCUAAAUACACCAAGAAGCAACUUGAAGCAAUAAUUAACAAAGAAUUGUCUUCUGGUAGUCUUGUAAAACUACCAAAUGGAUCUUUAGCUUUGGGUCCAGCUGAUCAUGAUGGUGACAGUUCAGAUAGUUUCAAAUUUGAUUACAAUGAUUCGAACACUAAGAUGACAUCUUCAGCAAAUUCUUCAUGCAGAUCAUCUCCACAGCGCACUAGAGGACGUCCAAGAAAAAGACCUGGUCAAGUUACAAGCAGCCAAAAUUCAAAUCAUAACCAAAACUCUGUUGUUAGAGUAGGAGAAAGGAGAAAAAUGGCAAAAAAAGUUUUUGAUCCAUCUGAUAACAAUGUUCCAAGUAAAAGAAAAAGAGGAAGACCUGUGGGUUCAUUAAAUAAAAGCACUAUAAAAAAAAGGAUGAUGAUUGCUGGUAAAGUAGAUAAAGAAGGUACCCCAUUGUCGGAAAGCCAGCAGUCAAUAGAUGGUAGCGGGGAUGAAAUAGACAGGGAUGAAACAAACCUUACUGAAACUGAAACUUCUGUAGGGGUUUGCUCCGUCUGCUUAGUACAGAAGUCACGUGGAAACAGUGAUCUUUUAGUGGAGUGCAGAGAUUGUAACAAUAAAGCCCACUUAAGUUGCCUUCAGUCUGGCUCAGGGAUUCUUAAACCACGUCCAGACAACACUUGGCAAUGUCCACAUUGUAAAACAUGUGCAGUCUGUUGUGAAACCAAUGAUGCCGGUAUAUUAACUGUGUGCAGUAUAUGUUCUGAUGCGUACCAUGCUCUAUGCCAUUCACCACGAAUACCCGAGAGACUAAAAGCCUGGGACCAGUGGGAAUGUACUAAUUGCUUAGAAUCCAGACCAUCGAUUGAUAAACCAGUACAAAUUAUUCCAAAUAUUGAAUUUUGUACAAAAAAUUCAUCAACAAUUGAUCCGUUUUUAAAGCCUCAUGAAAUUGAUAGAGCUGCAGCUAAGAUUGCAGAUAAAGUACCUAUGGACCCCAAUGUACCAGACAUAACUAAUUGGAAUGUUGAUGAUGUGUAUGAUUAUUUUAUGGAACAUUUGUCUGAAGCUGCACCGAUUUUACGAGAUCAGGAGUUUGAUGGACAAGCAAUAAGUAUGGCCCGGAGAGCAGACAUCGUGAGGGGACUAGGCCUUCCUCUAGGACCGGCACUGGCAUUAUAUCGGAUUAUUGUUAAGUUACAGACUAGAAAGGAUGAUUGGAGGAUGUGUUGGGGAUAAACAAUUUGAACCAUAAGAUAAGAGUGAUAUAUUGUUAAGCACAAAAGCAUACUCAUAGCUUCUAUACUUCAGUGUUUUACAUGUUGAAUGAUAAUGUCCUCUGUAAUAUGACGAAGAGAACUGGAGAGGAGUAGGAUCAUUGAUGUUUUGCCAGCCAUGAAGCCAAUAGACACUAUGAUGACGCCAUACUAUCGUUAAUAUCACUAAGGUCCCAAAUAAAUGCGAAUGCAAUCCCUAGGAUUUGUAGUGGAGAAAGAAUAGUGCGUGGAGUGGGAUUUCCACCUUGGCUAACAAACAAAACAGGAAUACUGAUACUUUUAUCAAA